GCCGCCACCGCCUCAGGGAAGAGGAAGGAGGCCGCGGCUUCGCGUCCCGCCUCUCGCCUGGCUGGCCGUGGGGGGCCUGGACGCAGUGGCCUCCCGAAUCUCCCAGGACCCUAAUAUCGCCCGAGGAUGCUGGGAGGAACGCUGAGCCGACCUCUCCGUUAGGCUGAAGAUUGCACAAACCAUGCUAAUGGCCAGCAUGGAUGGAGGGAGCGUGUGAGAUGUGUGGGGCAGCGUGCUGCAUCUCAGCCAACUCCAGGAGCCAGUUGAUGUGAUGGACUACCUUAAUUGAUUUUUGAAUGUUGAGCCAGCCUUAUGCAUGUGGGAUAAACCCCUGUUGAUCAUGGCUGGCUGGAGUGCAGUGGUGCAAUCAUGGCUCACUGCAACCUCAAAUUCCUGGGCUCAAGGGAUCCUCCUGCCUCAGCCUCCCAAGUAGCUAGGACUACAGUUCCUGCUGGAAUCUUGCUGUUGCCCAUUCAAGUCUGGUGGUUCCUGUGUGUUGGGGUGGCCUUG
RNAcentral lists this long non-coding RNA (510 nucleotides) under Homo sapiens (human). RNAcentral's name for it is "non-protein coding GMDS-DT:76". The record is from RNAcentral. Lineage: Eukaryota; Metazoa; Chordata; Mammalia; Primates; Hominidae.